This 1227-nucleotide long non-coding RNA is filed under the name Canis lupus familiaris (dog). RNAcentral describes it as "lncRNA (ENSCAFG00030019165.1)". Lineage: Eukaryota; Metazoa; Chordata; Mammalia; Carnivora; Canidae. The record is from RNAcentral.
AGUCAAAUCCCAGCUCCCUGGAGGGGCUAGGAAACUCUGCCUUUGACACAUUCACUUUAAGAAUUUCAGCAAUAAGGGGCUCCUGGGUGGCUCAGUCAGUUAAGCAUCUGCCUUCAGCUCAGGUCAUGAUCUCAGGUCCUGGGAUUGAGCCCGAAAUCAGGCUCCCUGCUCAGUGGGGAGUCUACUUCUCCCUCUCCCUCUGCCAGCACUCAAGCUCUCUCUCUCAAAUAAAUAACAACUUUAAAAAAAAAAUGUCAGCAAUAAGAUAAAAAGAGGGUGUGUACAUUUGCAGAACCCCAUGCUCUAUUUCUUAACUCCCUCUUCCCACGGUGCCCACACACUUCCUUCCCUAGGUGGGGAACAGGGCAUAUCUGGGCAAGUCAAAAGGAACCCACCUGCUGGAAGUGUCCCCUGGGGUGAGGGAGGGAGCGCGGGAGCGCGGAGGCCAUCCGGGCCCACCUGCCAUAGCCACUGCUUUUGUCCUAACAGGCGUGGAUGCCCAGAUCUGGGAGAUGCUGCUGUUGCUCGGUGCCCCCACCUUGGUGCCAUCCUAGCUGGGCAGACCCCCCAGGGGUACAGGGAGCGGACGGACAUAGGCGGGAAGCUGGAGCUCGCUGGUGCCUGCACGGAGGCACCUGCGCAGUGGGUGGUGAGUGGGUAGGGAGGUUCUUUUAUUUUAUUAUUUAUUUUUUAUUGGAGUUCAAUUUGCCAACAUAUAGCAUAACACCUAGUGCUCAUCCUGUCAAGUGCCCCCGUCACCCAGUCACCCCCACCCCCCUGCCCACUUCCCUUUCCACCAUGGUAGGGAGGUUCUUAUGGCAACUUGGCUCAGGUCCUCAAAACCUCGCUUCCCCCCACCCACUCAGGGGUCUAGUGCGCUCCCUAUGGCUGUUAGCAGGACGGCAGGGCACCUUUGCUGCUGGCACUGCCCUGCGCGCUCCUCUCCUAGCUCCGUGUGGUCGCUUCUGGGAUCCAGACUCUGCAGAGACUUCCCAGAAAGACCAGUGCGGAGGCCUUAAGGCUGAGAUUGAAAACAAAGACUACAAUUAUGAAAUCCAUGGAGUGGGGCUGAAUAUGCCUUCAAUUUUUAAAGGUUACUUAGAUGAGAUGCAGCAGGGAGACGUCUUUUUUGUGUGUGUGUGUGAAGUCAUGGAACACCGAGGCCUCUGGUAUAUGACUGGCAAUGUUGUCCUCCAAUUUGUACCACAGAUACAGAGCAUCUACUGA